CUUCCUUUGGGGACCUGCGAGGGAUUAUUAAAGAGGUUCCAAACUCCCUUUAACAUUGUGGACGGUAACUAAAACGUUGUUUGGCGGGCGGGCCCCGUUCUUUCCGGCGCCCCUCGGGCCUCGCGGGCGCCCGCCGGAGGUUAACCAAACUAUUGCAUUGUAUGGCCUCUCUGAGUCUUCUGUACUGAAUAAGUCAAAACUUUCAACAACGGAUCUCUUGGUUCUGGCAUCGAUGAAGAACGCAGCGAAACGCGAUAAGUAAUGUGAAUUGCAGAAUUCAGUGAAUCAUCGAAUCUUUGAACGCACAUUGCGCCCGCCAGUAUUCUGGCGGGCAUGCCUGUUCGAGCGUCAUUUCAACCAUCAAGCCCCGGGCUUGUGUUGGGGACCUGCGGCUGCCGCAGGCCCUGAAAUGCAGUGGCGGGCUCGCUGUCACUCCGAGCGUAGUAGUUACAUCUAGCUCUGGGCGUGCUGCGGGUUCCGGCCGUUAAAAGCCUUAUUUACCCCAGGUGACCUCGGAUCAGGUAGAAAGACCCGCUAAACUUAGCAUAUCAUUACCGGGAGGACUCC
This 567-nucleotide ribosomal RNA is filed under the name Chaetomium sp. UFGD_Bt07. RNAcentral's name for it is "eukaryotic LSU rRNA". The stretch from base 198 to 351 matches the Rfam family "5.8S ribosomal RNA". The record is from RNAcentral. Lineage: Eukaryota; Fungi; Ascomycota; Sordariomycetes; Sordariales; Chaetomiaceae.